UCCGUAGGUGGAUUGGUCAGUCAGAGGUGAAAUCCUGCAGCUCAACUGUAGAACUGCCUUUGAUACUGCCGGUCUUGAAUUAUUGUGAAGUGGUUAGAAUAUGUAGUGUAGCGGUGAAAUGCAUAGAUAUUACAUAGAAUACCGAUUGCGAAGGCAGAUCACUAACAAUAUAUUGACACUGAUGGACGAAAGCGUGGGGAGCAAACAGGAUUAGAUACCCUGGUAGUCC
This 229-nucleotide ribosomal RNA is filed under the name uncultured bacterium. RNAcentral's name for it is "partial 16S ribosomal RNA". It matches the Rfam family "Bacterial small subunit ribosomal RNA", at positions 568 to 796 of the family's 1533-position model. The record is from RNAcentral.